RNAcentral lists this ribosomal RNA (935 nucleotides) under uncultured bacterium. Its description in RNAcentral is "bacterial SSU rRNA". It matches the Rfam family "Bacterial small subunit ribosomal RNA", at positions 52 to 978 of the family's 1533-position model. The record is from RNAcentral.
CACAUGCAAGUCGAGGGGCAGCAUUUUAGUUUGCUUGCAAACUAAAGAUGGCGACCGGCGCACGGGUGAGUAACACGUAUCCAACCUGCCGAUAACUCGGGGAUAGCCUUUCGAAAGAAAGAUUAAUAUCCGAUAGUAUAUUAAAACCGCAUGGUUUUACUAUUAAAGAAUUUCGGUUAUCGAUGGGGAUGCGUUCCAUUAGUUUGUUGGCGGGGUAACGGCCCACCAAGACUACGAUGGAUAGGGGUUCUGAGAGGAAGGUCCCCCACAUUGGAACUGAGACACGGUCCAAACUCCUACGGGAGGCAGCAGUGAGGAAUAUUGGUCAAUGGACGAGAGUCUGAACCAGCCAAGUAGCGUGAAGGAUGACUGCCCUAUGGGUUGUAAACUUCUUUUAUAUGGGAAUAAAGUAUUCCACGUGUGGAAUUUUGUAUGUACCAUAUGAAUAAGGAUCGGCUAACUCCGUGCCAGCAGCCGCGGUAAUACGGAGGAUCCGAGCGUUAUCCGGAUUUAUUGGGUUCAAAGGGAGCGUAGGUGGAUUGUUAAGUCAGUUGUGAAAGUUUGCGGCUCAACCGUAAAAUUGCAGUUGAAACUGGCAGUCUUGAGUACAGUAGAGGUGGGCGGAAUUCGUGGUGUAGCGGUGAAAUGCUUAGAUAUCACGAAGAACUCCGAUUGCGAAGGCAGCUCACUAGACUGCAACUGACACUGAUGCUCGAAAGUGUGGGUAUCAAACAGGAUUAGAUACCCUGGUAGUCCACACAGUAAACGAUGAAUACUCGCUGUUUGCGAUAUACAGUAAGCGGCCAAGCGAAAGCAUUAAGUAUUCCACCUGGGGAGUACGCCGGCAACGGUGAAACUCAAAGGAAUUGACGGGGGCCCGCACAAGCGGAGGAACAUGUGGUUUAAUUCGAUGAUACGCGAGGAACCUUACCCGG